Molecule: long non-coding RNA, 153 nt
Filed under: dengue virus type 2
Lineage: Riboviria; Orthornavirae; Kitrinoviricota; Flasuviricetes; Amarillovirales; Flaviviridae
Description: Dengue virus type 2 partial sfRNA3
Rfam family: Flavivirus DB element (bases 6-77)
Source: RNAcentral
AUCUGGGAGGCCACAAACCAUGGAAGCUGUACGCAUGGCGUAGUGGACUAGCGGUUAGAGGAGACCCCUCCCUUGCAAGUCGCAGCAACAAUGGGGGCCCAAGGUGAGAUGAAGCUGUAAUCUCACUGGAAGGACUAGAGGUUAGAGGAGACC